Cephalotus follicularis is the source of this 71-nucleotide transfer RNA. It matches the Rfam family "tRNA". Rfam says of the family: Transfer RNA (tRNA) molecules are approximately 80 nucleotides in length. Lineage: Eukaryota; Viridiplantae; Streptophyta; Magnoliopsida; Oxalidales; Cephalotaceae. The record is from Rfam.
GGCGGCAAGGCCGAGCGGUAAGGCAGGGGACUACAAAUCCUUUUUCGCCAGUUCAAAUCCAGGUGUCGCCU